CAGACGAUGCGUCAUGCAUAUCAAUAAGCGGAGGAAAAGAAACUAACAAGGAUUCCCUUCAGUAACGGCGAGUGAAGCGGGAAGAGCUCAAACUUUGAAAUCUUGAAAGGUCACCUUUCACGAAUUGUAGUUUAAAGAAGUGUUUUCUGUUACGAUCGUAAUAUAAGUUCUUUGGAAUAGGACAUCACAGAGGGUGAGAAUCCCGUCUAUGAUUGCGAUUUGUAGCUUUGUGAUACACUUUCAAAGAGUCGGGUUGUUUGGGAAUGCAGCCCAAAACGGGAGGUAAAUUUCUUCUAAGGCUAAAUAUUGGCGAGAGACCGAUAGCGAACAAGUACCGUGAGGGAAAGAUGAAAAGAACUUUGAAAAGAGAGUUAAAUAGUACGUGAAAUUGUCAAAAGGGAAGCGUUUAACACCAGUGUUGUUUUCUGAAAAUCAACCUCUGUUAGCUUUAUGCAUGUUUGUUUAGACCUAAUCAGCUAUCUUGCAUGUUCUAUUGUUUGCAGUGGUGCACUUUUCAGUUUACAGGUCAACAUCAGUUUUUUUUACCGUAAAAAGUUAAAGAAAGGUAGCUCAUGGCUCCGGAUCGUGAGUGUUAUAGUCUUUUUCCUAUGCGGUAGGAGAGACUGAGGUCUGCAGUGUAGGCUAUUUGGCUAGAUACUCAGGUGCUAUGUGAUACCAUUUCAUAAACAACUUGUUGAUUAUGUUUUGUCUAUUGCAUACUCGCUUGUACUAUCAUACCUACGCUUAGGAUGUUGACUGAUAUGUAGUCGUA
This 772-nucleotide ribosomal RNA is filed under the name uncultured Neocallimastigales. RNAcentral's name for it is "partial large subunit ribosomal RNA". It matches the Rfam family "Eukaryotic large subunit ribosomal RNA", at positions 18 to 644 of the family's 3401-position model. The record is from RNAcentral. Lineage: Eukaryota; Fungi; Neocallimastigomycota; Neocallimastigomycetes; Neocallimastigales.